GGCAGCAACAGCAACAGCAGCGACGGCCGGCGGCGGCGGCGGCAAACAGACAGUCACCUCACCGCGUCCAUGGGAGCGGACGAGCGGCGGCCGAGGCCGGGGCCGAGCGGGAAUAAGAUGGCGCUGGCGCUGCUGCUGAUGAUCGCGCUGCAGCUUCCCCAGGUCCUGGCUGAGUAUGGGAUGGUCAACGUGCUGUCGGAUAAAGAGCAUGGAAGUGCAAAAGAUUACUGUAUCCAGUUCAACCCCUCCUGGGCAUAUUUACCUCAUGAUCUCAGUAAAGCAUCUCUCUUGCAGGUCCAAGAUUUGACAUCUUCCAUGCUGUGCACACCAUCAGAUGUGCCGCUGCAAGGGUUUAACUACAGAAUUGCGAUGGUGAUGCGUGGGAACUGUACAUUCUAUGAUAAAGUGCGACUUGCACAAAUCAACGGAGCCAAGGGUCUGAUCAUCGUCAGCAGAGAGAGCCUGGUGCCCCCGGGUGGAAAUGGGAGUCAGUACGAGGAGAUUGAUAUCCCAGUUGCUCUCCUCAGUUACGAUGACAUGCUUGAUAUAUCAAAGACGUUUGGGAAAGCAAUCAAAGUGGCGAUGUACGCCCCAAAUGAACCGUUCCUGGACUAUAACAUGGUGGUUAUCUUUGUAAUGGCAGUCGGUACAGUAGCAAUCGGUGGCUACUGGGCAGGAAGCAAAGAUGUGAAGAAGCGAUACAUGAAGCAUAAGCACGAUGGAGUGGACAAACAAGAUGAUGAGACUAUUGAUGUGACGCCAAUUAUGAUCUGUAUUUUUGUGGUGAUGUGCUGCUCAAUGCUAGUUCUCCUCUACUACUUUUACAAUCAGCUAGUGUACGCAAUUAUAGGAAUUUUCUGCCUUGCUUCUUCCAUUGGACUUUACAGCUGCCUGGCCCCAUUUGUUCAGAAAAUUCCUUUCUGUGAAUGCAGGAUUCCAGAGCUGCCGUGUACUCACAAACGACCCCAAGUGCGGAUGUUGCUCCUGGGCAUGUUCUGUGCCUCUGUGAGUUGUGUGUGGGCUGUGUUCAGAAAUGAGGAUAAGUGGGCAUGGAUUUUACAAGACACUCUAGGAAUUGCAUUUUGCCUUUACAUGUUGAAAACAAUCAGACUGCCAACAUUCAAGGCUUGCACAUUACUGCUGGUGGUUCUCUUUGUGUACGAUAUUUUCUUUGUUUUCAUAACUCCGUUUCUCACUCGGAGUGGGGAGAGCAUCAUGGUGGAAGUGGCUGCUGGACCUUCUGAUUUCUCCACUCAUGAGAAGCUCCCAAUGGUAUUGAAGGUGCCUCGGUUGAAUUCCUCGCCUCUGGCACUGUGUGACAGACCCUUCUCCCUCCUUGGCUUUGGUGAUGUCUUAAUACCAGGAAUGCUGGUGGCAUACUGCCACCGGUUUGAUAUUCAGGUGCAGGCCUCAAGAAUCUACUUCGUAGCGUGCACAGUCGCAUAUGGCGUUGGUCUUCUCAUCACUUUUGUUGCUCUGGCACUAAUGCAGACCGGCCAGCCAGCUCUCCUCUACCUGGUCCCAUGCACUCUGAUCACCAGCAUCUGCGUUGCCUGCUGGCGUAAGGAGGUGGCAAAGUUCUGGAAUGGAAAUGGAUUUGCGGUGAAUACCAGUUUGAUAUGAGUGCCUAGAAGAAUUAUAUUGCCCCCUCCCCAAAUGUAAUAAUAAAGACCAGUUCACAAGACGUCGCUACAUAUGUUGCUUCACCACCUCCAACUGCUCCGAAACAGGGACAGCUGGGAUUAUUGGAUACUGACAACAGUUCACAGACCUGUGACAACUCAUCUCCGACUGCCAGCCACCAUGAAGAGAAAGCCCUGAACACUCCAGCUGGAGGAGCCACUGAUGAAAACGAAGCUGAACCCAGUGAGAACUUUCUGCUGAAAGACAGGACGGGUCAAUGAUAGCGCGGACAAUGUACUUACAACGCAAUUUUUAAAACAUGCUUAAUAUAGUGGGUUUAUAUACAACGAGGUAGAUCGGUAUUGCAGAUGUUAGCUGAAGCGAAUGAUAGAAUGCCUGGUGGGUGGACCUUUAACGGUUACGUUCUCCUCCCAAAUGAUCAUGGGCAGUUGUACUGCCCCAAACAGACCCCACGGCCGGCUGAACAGUGGCCCUACUCAAGCUGCUUGCUUUCUCAAAGCUGACACUACCAAGUACAGAACACCUCGACCUACCUCCCCAAUUCUGAACCUAACCAAACGUUCAUUGUUAAAAAAAUGACUGGUCAGAAAAAAAAAAUAUUGUCAUUGCCACAUCUCCUGAUCCCCUAAUGCCCCUGUCCCACUUAGGAAACCUGAACGGAAACCCCUGGAGACUUUGCGCCCCACC
RNA transcript from Amblyraja radiata (thorny skate), 2331 nucleotides. It is a transcript of the gene named signal peptide peptidase-like 2, with no coding region annotated. The record is from RefSeq and is a predicted model, not a curated record. The transcript is spliced from 16 exons. Lineage: Eukaryota; Metazoa; Chordata; Chondrichthyes; Rajiformes; Rajidae.